CACGUAGGGGGUAAGCGUUGUCCGGAUUUAUUGGGCGUAAAGAGCUCGUAGGCGGCUUAGUAAGUCGGGUGUGAAACCUCCAGGCUCAACCUGGAGACGCCACCCGAUACUGCUGUGGCUAGAGUCCGGUAGGGGAGCGUGGAAUUCCUGGUGUAGCGGUGAAAUGCGCAGAUAUCAGGAGGAACACCAGCGGCGAAGGCGGCGCUCUGGGCCGGUACUGACGCUGAGGAGCGAAAGCGUGGGGAGCAAACAGG
This 254-nucleotide ribosomal RNA is filed under the name uncultured bacterium. RNAcentral's name for it is "partial 16S ribosomal RNA". It matches the Rfam family "Bacterial small subunit ribosomal RNA", at positions 524 to 776 of the family's 1533-position model. The record is from RNAcentral.